Small nuclear RNA from Cavia aperea (Brazilian guinea pig), 123 nucleotides. Lineage: Eukaryota; Metazoa; Chordata; Mammalia; Rodentia; Caviidae. The record is from Ensembl.
GUGUGUAUGAAAGCAGAGGUUAGCACUCCCCCUUGACAAGGAUGGAAGAGGCCCUUGGGCCUGACCACACACAUACAGUUAAGGCAUUGCCACCUACUUCAUGGCAUCUAACCACUGUUUUAG